AGGCCAACACUGACUCUGUUUAAGAGCAACAACUUUUCUCUGCCUAUGAGACAUGCCAUAACCUGCAAACAGUCAACAGAUCAACUAUGCUGACUUGCCUGUUACAUCUCAUAGCCUAAAUACUGUAUCAGAGAUGCACACAAAAUGUCACAACUGAACUUGUCAAGCGGUACAAAGUGGAGACAAGUCUCUGACAUCGUAAAUGCAUGCCCAGAUUGAGCAAUGUUGCAGGGCAACCAC
Long non-coding RNA from Alosa sapidissima (American shad), 240 nucleotides. RefSeq lists it as uncharacterized. The record is from RefSeq and is a predicted model, not a curated record. The transcript is spliced from 3 exons. NCBI's taxonomy places the organism in Eukaryota, Metazoa, Chordata, Actinopteri, Clupeiformes, Clupeidae.